AGAUGAGUGUGCUCAUGCCCUGGAAAGCUCUUUCAGCAUCUUCAGCUUCUGCAGGGAGAAUCUUGCUGAGACCAAGUGAGGAGAAAGUUAUUGGCCCGAAAGUGAGCCUCGUGACAAGAAUGAUAACUGCUUAUCCAGGUUUGGUGUCCUGUGAUGAGGUAACAUAUCUAAGAUCCAUGCUACCUGCUUACAACUUCAAGAAACUCCCAGAGAAAAUGAUGAAAAACAUCUCCAACCCAGGGAAGAUGUAUGAAUAUCUUGGCCAUAGAAGAUGUAUAAUGUUUGGGAAGAGAUAUCAGGCCAGAGAAAGAAAUAAAAAUUAUCCUUUUUUAGGU
Galeopterus variegatus (Sunda flying lemur) is the source of this 335-nucleotide long non-coding RNA. RefSeq lists it as uncharacterized. The record is from RefSeq and is a predicted model, not a curated record. NCBI's taxonomy places the organism in Eukaryota, Metazoa, Chordata, Mammalia, Dermoptera, Cynocephalidae. The transcript is spliced from 3 exons.